Long non-coding RNA from Lathyrus oleraceus (garden pea), 1481 nucleotides. RefSeq lists it as uncharacterized. NCBI's taxonomy places the organism in Eukaryota, Viridiplantae, Streptophyta, Magnoliopsida, Fabales, Fabaceae. The transcript has 2 exons. The record is from RefSeq and is a predicted model, not a curated record.
AUUACUAUUUUGAUGGCGCAAUCCCUGAUAACGUGGCACCAAUUUAAUGGUGGAUACGCGGCCCUUAUGGUCUUUUGUCUUUCGACCAUUGGAUCUUCAUCUUCUAAUCUUUGAAGAAGAUGCACCUAUAUAUACUAGAGUGAACCAUUUCUUUAACUUUUCCAUUUUCAUUUUACUUGGGCUUUCUAUUAUUGUCUGCAUUCUUGAAAUGUUCAUGUUCUUCGAUGUUGGCUUCUUCCCCUUUAAGGUGUUUAUGUUCUCCUCUUUCGACCUUCAUCAAGUUUUCUAUUGGUACUAUGAUGCAAGGCAUUAAAUAUCAUUCUUCUAAACUUAUAAUCAACAGGGAAGUAUGUCGCUUAUAUCCCUGGGUGGUUACUUGGGGACUCCUUCAAUAUAUUCUGAUUUAUUUGAAUCAGAAAAAUAUGACACAGUAAAAGAGAUUGGUGGUCCAUGUGGUGCCUAGAAGGUCGAGGUUCAAACCUUCUCCCACAGAAUUUGCCAAGACUUUCACCACCCGAGCUUCCCCUUGUUUGUCGUGGUAUUCCUGGAGAUGGGAAUCUUCUUUCCCUUCACUAUGUUCGAACAAAAAAAAUUCUGAUACCUAGUGGCGACACCUUCACAGUUACACCCCAAUUGUUGGGGCCUUAUUAGGGCUUUUGAUAGGACCUCUGCCCUCGUGUUUUACUCCCUUGGAACAUCAGCAGUCUCAUACGCCUUAAAUGAGCUCAAUUUGUCUUUGACCAUGACUAUAUACUUCUACAAUAGUGGAUCUUUGGCUUGUGCAUCCCCGUUGACCUAGGCGUGAUUAUUUUUGCCCGAUCUCCAACGCCAACAUGUAUCUAGUGAUGAAGGCUUCGUACUCGACUAGGUUGGUGGUGGUGGAGAAGUCAAAAGCGCAGGGAUACUUCUACUAUGAUCUCUUUGUCAAUCUCAAGAACGCAGUCGGCUCUACUUCCUCUACUAUUCAAUGACUCAUUUGUGAAGACGGUCCACUUUGUGCAUGGUUCAGAGGUGGUCGGUGUCAACUUAGCAAUAAAGUCUGCAAAGACUAGGGCUUUUAGGGUGUUUUUGGAGUUGAAACAGAUAUCAAACUCUGAAAUCUCUAUAGACUACUGACAUCCACCCUUCCAAAUUUGGUCUAAAAAUGACUUGUUUCAAAGGUUGACUAGUGUUAACCACCCGGGGUCACGCUUAUAUAGAGAAGACGUUCAAAACGGUGCCGAUUUGUCCUGCAUGGGGUGCAGGAGCUGUUGGAUAUGAUCAACAGUUGAGAUGAUAGAAGAGAUCGUGCUCCUAUGCAGUGUCCAGAAAUGAAGGUUCAUCUAUGCGUCAGUGAGUGGAGACACUUUGUUGGAUAUAUGAAUUGGGAUGGUCUUAAUAAGCCCGGAACAAGUUUUAACGAAAAAUGGAGACAUUUGCUAAAACCCACCCGCAUAAAAAAUUUAUUUCAAUAUAAUGUUGGAUAAUUAACAGUUUUUUUA